Molecule: long non-coding RNA, 1272 nt
Organism: Papaver somniferum (opium poppy)
Lineage: Eukaryota; Viridiplantae; Streptophyta; Magnoliopsida; Ranunculales; Papaveraceae
Exons: 4
Source: RefSeq, a predicted model, not a curated record
CUUCUUUUCUUCCCCAAUUUUUUCUCUUUUUUCUUUUCGCUCCGCAGUUCAACGAAGGAGCAAUCACUCUUCUCCAUCAACUAAUCAAUUGAAGAUUACAUCAAUGAAAGAUAAGUGUAAUGCAUUCUUUUCAUUUUGAUUUGAUCGCAACUCUUGAUUUCUCGAUUUCAAAAUGAAAAAUUACGGCUCAGAAAAACCUAAAUUUUCUUAUUUCAAUUCGAAUUUCUGUUUUUAUUUAUAAUCAGAUCUCGGAUCCGCUACAAUCUGAUUAUUAUCUUCGUUUAAAUCACAAACUUUGUAAAAAAUUCAACUAAUUUGUCGCAAUUUGUUCCCUGGUUAAUCUCUGCAAUUCGAUUUGUAUCCUUAUUCUCGAUUUAAAAUGACAUUUAAGAUUUGUAAUCAGCAUGUAUUACCCUUCAAAAUAGAAGUUGUUGACCUAAUUCACAGGCUUUUUUCUUUUUUUUCUUUUUGGUAUAAUUCAAGUGAAAAUUAUACUUGUUAAUGAUGACUUGAUGGUUUCGUAUAUUAGGUUGCAUGUAUUGAUUAUUUGGGAUUUGAAUUCGAUACAUAGUUAAUUACUUAGAAGCUGCUUACUUAGGUGCAGGCUUGGAUGGUUUAUCUACGCCAAAAUGAUAUUCUGGGUGGAAAUGUUCGUUACUAUCUUAACUUGGCCCCCACUAGUAUAUACCUGAAUCAUCUCACCGAGCUUCAAGUCUUUGUAACAUAUUAAUUGAAUGCCAGACCUUUACUAUGCCAUGAAUGACUGGAAGCAUCUUCAAGUCGGAUUAUAGAUUCUGGGUUCAUGUAACAACCUUUGAGAAUUUAUUUGGAGAACUCGGUAAUAGUGAUCGACUGCAAUGGAGGGAAAAUUCCACGAUGUUUGCAAUGCCUAGAUAGCCAUGGGAAUUCAGCCACUUUGAUUUCUCGGAUGUUCUUUCUGCACCCUUAAUUGCUUCUAGAUAUGACGGUUACUUCAGAGGUCUGCAAAAGAAUAAAAGACGCUGAGCAGUCUACAGCAGAGAUUGCUAUCAAGAACGUAUAUGUUUUUUUUUUUUUUUUUUUUUUUUUUUUUUUUUUUUUUUUUUUUUUUUUUUUUUUAUGUUUUUAUUGAAUGAUUACUAUAAUCGCAAAGAUUGUUUUGUAAUUUUUUUUUCUGUUUGUGAUAUUAUGCAUCUUGGUAUCCAGACAACGAAAAAUGAUCCGACUGUAAAAGAACUAAGUGAUGAAUUAGUAAGUAAAACUGAUUUGUAGCACGAAAUCUUUUACGCCAAA